RNAcentral lists this ribosomal RNA (269 nucleotides) under uncultured bacterium. Its description in RNAcentral is "partial 16S ribosomal RNA". It matches the Rfam family "Bacterial small subunit ribosomal RNA", at positions 333 to 617 of the family's 1533-position model. The record is from RNAcentral.
AUGCCCCUACGGGACGCAGCAGUGGGGACUAUUGGGCAAUGGGCGCAAGCCUGACCCAGCAAUGCCGCGUGAAGGAAGAAGGCUUUCGGGUUGUAAACUUCUUUGACAGGGGAAGAGCAGAAGACGGUACCCUGAAAACAAGCCACGGCUAACUACGUGCCAGCAGCCGCGGUAAUACGUAGGUGGCAAGCGUUAUCCGGAAUUAUUGGGCGUAAAGAGCGCGCAGGUGGGUAAUUAAGUCUGAUGUGAAAGCCCACGGCUUAACCGUG